UCUGCUACAUUCGCACUCAUAAUGUAGCAGACACCAGACAAAUUUAAAAUUAUUAAUAAAUACAGUAAAUUAUUAAUAACAUAAAAUUUAUAAAAAAUGCACUUAUUAAUUACAAAAUUUUUUAAAUGCGCAUUUUUUUUAAAUUUUAAUUUAUUAAUUAUUUACUCUAAUUAUUAUUAAUUUUAAAUUUGUGUGAUGUCUGCUGCAUUCACACUCAUAAAUAUCAAAUGAUUAACUCUCUACAUGUGCAUAUUUUUAGAUUUUUUUUUCGCAAUUGAUUUGUUGAAAAAAAAAAUCCAAAAAUUGUUAAUUGUCUGCUGGUUUCACACUCAAAUAUUAAUAGUUAAUUAUUUUUUAAAAAUUUAUAAGUGACAAUAAUAAUAACUAAAAUAUUUGGGCACUAAAGCGCCGCCAUAGUUUGAAUUUGUAAACAAAAAUUUGUCGUUAUGUCAACGCAAUCAACUUUGUAUAUUUUUUUUUGUUAUUCAUUUUUCAAACGUAUGAUUCAUAUUAUUUUUUAUGUUGUGUCUACCAUAUAAACUACUGCAUAUUUAUUUCAUAUAUAUGUCUACUUUAAUCUGUGUGUAUAUUUCAAUGCAUUGAUUUUUAUAUGUAAUGUACAUAUACAUAUAUCUAUAUAUAUAUAUACAUCCACAAGGUUAAUGAGUAUUUAACACGUGACAAAUUUAACAGGCAAUACACGUUGUAAGAAUAAUUGUGUUGGUUAUUACUAUAAAUAUCUACCAAGAACCUUAUCCUCGUAAACUCGAGCUCUGGUUCGUCAAGAAAAGGUGGCCUGACCUGAGGGAAACCGCUAUGUAGACACCACAUCAUUUUAUUACAACACAAAUAUAUGUACAUAUAAGCGUACAUUGAUAAAUACUAUCGACGAUAAACGAUUGUCAAUUAUGAAAUGAUAGUGAAAGUUUAAAUUAUUAUUUUAUUUAUAUUUUGUAUUUUAUGUUGACAUUUUCAAUAUUCAAACAUUUGUAUUUUUACUCUCAGUUAUUUAUUUAGUUUUUGUUUAUUUGUUGAGGUUAUUGUUUAUAAAGUUAUAUAUAAAUAUUUAAAAAUGGAAGAUACAAUAAUACCACCCCAUGUAUCUAGGCAAUAUUUAGUUGUUAAUGAAGAAACUGGUGGCUCAAGUAAUAGUGUAAUUAAAAAAAAUGAAAGUGACAAACAAGAAAUAAAAUCGGUAACUAUGUCAGAAUGGAUCACUGUUGUCAUAUUAUGUUUUGUUAAUUUGAUUAAUUAUAUGGACAGGACAACAAUUGCAGGAAUAUUACCAGCGAUACAGGAAAAAUUUCAAAUCGAAAAUGGAUCCUCUGGUUUAUUACAAACAGCAUUUAUCGUCAGCUACAUGAUAUUCGCACCAUUGUUCGGUUAUCUUGGUGACAGAUAUAACAGAAAAAUAAUAAUGAGUGUCGGUGUAUUUAUUUGGAGCUUGACGACUUACCUUGGCUCUUAUAUGAAGUCAUUUGAAGGAUUUAUUGCGUUAAGAAUGUGCGUUGGAAUUGGAGAAGCGAGUUAUUCAACAAUAGCACCAACGAUAAUAAGUGACUUAUUUGUAAAAGACACUAGAUCUAAAAUGUUAGCGCUAUUUUACUUCGCAAUACCUGUAGGAAGUGGUCUGGGAUAUAUUACCAGUGCUAAAAUAGUACAGGCAACUGGCAAAUGGCAAUCGGGAUUAAGGAUAACUCCUGGAUUAGGAAUAAUUGCUAUUAUUUUAAUUUUAACAUUAGUCAGAGACCCAGCAAGAGGUGAAAAAGAAGGCGGGUCACAUAUUUCUAGUACUUCCUGGUCCGUUGAUAUUAAAGAGUUAUUAAAAAACCGAAGCUUCAUGUUAUCAACGGGAGGAUUCACAUGCGUAGCAUUUGUUACCGGUGCAUUAGCACUAUGGGCGCCAAAAUUUUUACAAUUAGGUUUACAAUUACAAAAUUCAAAUUCACUAGUCAUUGAUGAUGUAUCAUUUGUCUUCGGAUUGAUAGCAAUGUUAGCUGGUCUAAUUGGAGUUCCACUGGGUUCAAUAAUGGCUCAGAAGCUCAGAGUGUGCUAUCAUCAAGCAGAUCCACUUAUUUGUGCCGUUGGAUUGCUCAUAAGUGUUCCAUUAAUAUUCUUUGCUGUUGUAACAGCCAGUAUUAAUUCAACGUUGUGUUUCAUUCUCAUUUUCUUUGGACAAUUGGCUCUUAAUCUUACGUGGUCUAUCGUUGCUGAUAUUCUAUUGUAUGUCGUGAUACCAACAAGAAGAUCUACAGCUGAAGCAUUUCAAAUUCUAGUGGCGCAUGCGCUUGGUGACGCUGGAAGUCCAUAUUUAAUUGGAUUGAUGUCUGAAGGAUUAAAACCAGCACUGACACCACUAGGGCCAUUUGAUGAAUUCGCUGCCUUGACGGAGUUCCGUUGCCUGCAGUACUCGUUAUUCGUAACAAUCUUCGUAGAAGUUAUUGGAGGUUUAUUCUUCUUAUUUACUGCAUUGUACAUUGAAAAAGACAAAGCUGUCGUUGAUCUCACCAUGGCGGUGCAUGAGUUGAUAUCGAGUAUGGAGUUAGAGCCACAGUUUUUAACUGAUGAUUGAGGUAAUCCUGUUUUUUUCAAGAUUAACAAGUUAAGCGUCAAGAUUCCUGGUAUUUCGAUAAAAAUGAAGCUGAGACAACGCUAGUAGGUAAUGGAGAAGACAAUGAAAGAUAAUAAUUAUAAAUAUACAGUAAAUGUUAAUUAUUAAUUAAUGACUGAUAGAUUAGUGCAAAUAAUUAAUUAUACUUAGUUAGUAAUCAAUUAUUACUAGUUACUAUAAUUAAUUUAUUUGAAAUUAUUUUAUGACUUUUUUCAUAUUGUAUUAAUCAGUUGUAUUAUCAAUUCUCAUAAAUAUUUUUUUUAUAUUUAUGUUCAUUGUUUCGAUCUUGUAAAAAUUUUUUUGUCGUCUAGGCGUUUUUGUAAAACUUAGCAUUGUCUUGUUUGACAAAGGCUGUGCAUUGGUGGUCCCAAAAAUUUUAUUUUGUGUAAUCCAACAAAUUAUUUAUUUAAAAAAACAAAAAAAAAAUUAUAAUAAUUAAAAUUUGCAAUUAGAUAAUUAAAUGUUAUGUCAUUUUAAGGUAUUUCAUUAUCUUUCCUCGAAAGAUUUUAGUUAAAAUUUUUUAGAAAACUUUUGAAUCAGUUUCUCUUUAUAUGAAUCUGAUAAUUAAAAAAAAAAAAUUAAUUAAGUCUUAAAGAAAUUUAUUAAUUAAAUUAACUUUUAAGGGGACUGAGAAGAAGAAGUGAUCAGAAAUAGAGAAUUUUGUCUUGUCUUCGAUUAAUAUUAAAUAUAUGUAAUAAAAAAUUAUUAAAAUCGUAUUUUCAAAAUUUUUCAAAUAAUAUAUAUGUAUAAUUAUUCAAAAUUUAUGAUAAUUAAUAUAGUUUAUAUUUAUAAUCAUUUUAUCCGUAAAAAUUCAAAUUAUUCCAUUUGGCGCCAAAUUUGAAAUUUAAAAUUCAGUCAAAUGAGAUUUGCCCAGGUAGCACACUUGCCUUUUUGACAUCUAUAAGAUAUCAGUUUUUAGGCUACUUUUUGACUUGUCGAUAAGGCAUCAGUAUGUUGACAAAACGAUCAGAAAUUCAUGUCACCGAAAAAAUACCUACUUAAAAGACUUAACAUAAGUGAACAAAAAGUAAAUUACAAAAAGUGGUAAAAUAAGUCAUCUAAACGACUUGUCAAUUGAAAUAAGACAGGAAAAACAACACAACUCAUCUCUGUCUCCGGAACCAACAUUUGCAUGUCGUAUUCAUACAAAAUAGUAUAUUUUACACCUCGGGCAGUAAAGUAAGAAAAGUCUCAGAGCACAUGUAAUUGUUGGCCGAGGCUGACAAACAUGUGGUCUGAGGCUUUCUUUUUUACUGGCCUAGGUGCGUAUACUAUUUUUCUGCUCGACGGAGGCGGAAAGCGGAAACUUCGUUUCGCACAGCGGGAGAAAAGUUGACGCUUUUCGCCCGGAGGGGAGAAAAAAAAUGACUUUGAGACUAAGAAAAAAAUUUUUCUGCCCUCCGGUCGGAAAGUGGCAACUUUCGUCCCGCUGUGCAAAACAAAGUUGUAACUUUCCGGCUUCGUCGAGCAGAAAAAUAGUAUACGCACCUUGGCCAGUAAAAAAAAAAGCCUCAGACCACAUGUUUGUCAGCCUCGUCCAACAAUUACAUGUGCUCUGAGACUUUUCUUAUUUUACUGGCCUAGGUAUGUAAUAUACUAUGUCUUGUCCUUUUAAAAGACAUCUUAAAGUUGACUCUGUGCUACUUGGGUUAUAUAACAUACAUAUAUAGUAUAUAUUGAUGAUGAUAAAUUAUUAUCAGGUUUCAUUAAAUCUUUGAUUUAAAAAUUAAUUUUUCAAAUUUGAAAAAAUUAUUCUGCUUUUUUUGGAUUUUCAUAAAAUUAGAAGAUUUUUUACGGACGUUAAUAUCGAUUACUAAAUUGGCGUUCGAUUCUUCUCAUUACUAAUUAAUAUUAUCGGCUUAAUAAUUUAAAAAAUUUUGAAUUUUCUAUAAAAAUGCUUAAUAAGACUGCGUAGGCUUUAAAAACUUAAAAUCUCCUUAAAAUGACAUUAAAAAAAA
RNA transcript from Microplitis mediator, 4569 nucleotides. It is a transcript of the gene named protein spinster, with no coding region annotated. NCBI's taxonomy places the organism in Eukaryota, Metazoa, Arthropoda, Insecta, Hymenoptera, Braconidae. The transcript has 9 exons. The record is from RefSeq and is a predicted model, not a curated record.